This 279-nucleotide unclassified non-coding RNA is filed under the name plant metagenome. Its description in RNAcentral is "partial contains small subunit ribosomal RNA, internal transcribed spacer 1, and 5.8S ribosomal RNA". The record is from RNAcentral.
UUUCCGUAGGUGAACCUGCGGAAGGAUCAUUAUUGAAUGAAACAUUUCUGGCUUUUUGCUGUUGAGCUGGCCCUUUGGGCAAUGUGCACAUGGCACAGGUUACUUGAUUCUUUUGUUCAACCUUUGUACUGUCUGUUGACAAGCUGUGUCUAUGAUAUUUGUUAAUAUAUAACAAUGUUAGUUGGCAAGUUAUAAAUAAUAAUAAAAUAUAUAACUUUUAAUAACGGACCUCUUGGCUCUCGCAUCGAUGAAUAAUGCAGCAGUUCGGAAGAGGACACG